ACGCGGUAGGAACCUACCUAGUAGUUUGGGAUAGCCCAGAGAAAUUUGGAUUAAUACCGGAUACGCCCCACGGGGGAAAGCAGAGGAUCUUCGGACUUUGCGCUAUUAGAUGGGCCUGCGUGAGAUUAGCUAGUUGGUGGGGUAAUGGCCCACCAAGGCGACGAUCUCUAGCUAGGUUUGAGAGGAUGAUCAGCCACACUGGGACUGAGACACGGCCCAGACUCCUACGGGAGGCAGCAGUGGGGAAUAUUGCACAAUGGGGGAAACCCUGAUGCAGCCAUGCCGCGUGUGUGGAGAAGG
Molecule: ribosomal RNA, 300 nt
Filed under: uncultured Oceanospirillaceae bacterium
Lineage: Bacteria; Pseudomonadati; Pseudomonadota; Gammaproteobacteria; Oceanospirillales; Oceanospirillaceae
Description: bacterial SSU rRNA
Rfam family: Bacterial small subunit ribosomal RNA
Source: RNAcentral